Neomonachus schauinslandi (Hawaiian monk seal) is the source of this 2225-nucleotide long non-coding RNA. RefSeq lists it as uncharacterized. The record is from RefSeq and is a predicted model, not a curated record. Lineage: Eukaryota; Metazoa; Chordata; Mammalia; Carnivora; Phocidae. The transcript is spliced from 2 exons.
AUUGCGUUCUGUAGCUGUGUUUGCACUCAGUUUUACCGAAUUCCCAGUUGCUUUGUAUUGUUUUGUUGUGUUUGGGUUUUGUUUCUUUUUCCCAGUGCCAGGUCUUUGUUCCUUAAAGUUGGAUGGCAGGUAGAGUUCAAGCAGUUUGUGACUGUCGUAGUGAAUGAAGUUAAAAAUGUCCUUCUGAUGUGUUGUCAUUUCCAUUCUUGCAUUUUUGUUUUCAUGUAAAAAACAAAAACAAAAAACAAACAAAAAAACAAAAAAACAAAAAAAAAGGAGAGAAAGAGAGAAAAAAGAAAUCAGGACUAAGCCUUCAGCUUCAGUUUCAUUUUGAAAGGGCCCUAUCUGAUCUCACCUGUCUAGCUCUUCUAUUCACAUAAACUGAAAUAAAGAAGUGGUGUGAGGAGUUCUGACAUGCAAAUUAUGUGAUGCUGAUUUAUCUUUCUUAGGAAUUUCGAUGAAUGCAUCUCAGAAUGUACAGGCAGACUUGAGAGGUGGCUGUUAAAGAUCUCAGAAAGAGAGGAGAUGUCCCAAACAACAAAACAAUAUUUCAUUUUCUUAGUAAAAGGACUAGUAACGAAGUGCAGUGUGGCAAUCCUUAAGCAACAUUAUACAUGAACUGCUCAAAUCAGCAAAAUGCCAGAAGUUUGGUUAACUUGGGCAAUAUUACAGGUAUGACUUUUUAGGCAAAACUACUCCAUAAACAAUUUCUCUAGUGUGUCAGACACAAAUAGGUUGUUCCUUUUUGGCAUGUAUUCCUUUUUCUUUUUUCUUUUUUUUUUUUUUUUUUAAUCUGAUUUUUGUUUUCUCAGACAGAUGUAGUAGUAACGAUUAGCAUUGGAAAAUACAUAUCACUAUUCUUGGAAUAUUUAUGGUCAGUCUACUUUCAGUAGAAUAUUCUUGGGUAGCAUUGACACGAUAGAUCUUAUUCCAUAUUCCUUUAUUAUUGAUUAUUUUAUUUUCAUUUUUGUUUUCAUUGUUAUACAUGUUUUGAUGGAGAAGAGGUUGGGCUUUUCUUAAAAGAUGAAAAUUUAUUGUAACACUAAAAUACCCCUUACUUUUUGACCUACAAAAGCCUUUGUUCCAGCUCUCAAAAUAUAUUAUAAAAAUGGUUGUUAUUUUAUUUGGUUUUAAGGUUUCUGAAUGAUUUUGCCUUAAAUUGUGAUUUUAAAUGAGCUAUUUAGGUACUUAUCCUUUUUUUUAAGGACUUUCAAGAUGAUUUAGGAAUUUCCCCUCUUGGAAAAGCCUUCCCCUAUGAUGAAAAUUAUAUGCCAGCUAAAAUUGUAUACCAUUGAAAAACUGAAAGGUAGAGCUGUAAGCCUCACUCUGUCCUACACCAGAGAAAAGCAAGAGUAACUUUACGUGGAAGUAACGUUUAGCCUUCAUCAGAGAAGAUGGUCCUUCAAGACCUAUAAGUCCCCAAACUGGAUCCUGAUUCUACCCCUGGUUGUUUUUCAUUUUAUGACCUGCAGUAAAUCACUUUUUCUUUUCGUUCCUCAGGUUCCUCACCUGUAAAAUGGAAAAAAUAUAUUAAUAAUAAUAAUAUUAAUAAUAAUAAUAAUAAUAAUGGUAAUGUAGUACUUGUUUUGUAAAGCACUUUGAGAUCCUUGGUUGGAAGGCACCAUGGGAGUGCCAAGUAUUAUUAUAUGGCCAAGGGGCUUAUUUAAACUCUCAGUUCCCAAGGGCCAGGAAAGGUUGGGGUCAUUUUUGUUAAAGAUGAGCUGUAAAUAUCAUACUAGACAGCCUAUAGUGUUGACUAUGAAGAGGCAAAACUAUUACAAGGCUGAUAAAACGAUAGUUUCUUAAUGGCUACCAACAAGGCAAAUAUCACAAUAAGAAAUGCCAAAUUCCUUAGGGUGGGCUAUUUGACAACGUGGAUAAUUGGGGGGUGGGAUGGGGUUGGGAAACAUCUCAAAAUGCCAAUGUAAAAUUAACUUACAGCAAUAUUCACCAGCAGAAAAUGUCUUUCAUAUGGAAUGAUUUCAUGUUGCUAAGAAAAUAUUCAAUUUGUAGUCCUGAUUUGAAUAUUAGAAUGUUGGCUAUAAUAGUUCUGUUCUUACAACACAUGGAAUAUUUUUUUGUUUUAUUUAAUUUUGUUUUCAUAGUGCAUGUUCAUUUCUACUCACAAACAUGUUCUUGGUGUAUUUCUUAUGCAAACAAUCUUCAGGCAGCAAAGAUGUCUGUUACAUCUAAACUUGAAUAAUAAAGUUUUACCACCAGUUACA